Molecule: ribosomal RNA, 253 nt
Filed under: uncultured bacterium
Lineage: Bacteria
Description: partial 16S ribosomal RNA
Rfam family: Bacterial small subunit ribosomal RNA
Source: RNAcentral
UACGUAGGGUGCGAGCGUUGUCCGGAAUUAUUGGGCGUAAAGAGCUCGUAGGCGGUUUGUUGCGUCGGCCGUGAAAACCUGCAGCUUAACUGUGGGCCUGCGGCCGAUACGGGCAGACUAGAGUACUGCAGGGGAGACUGGAAUUCCUGGUGUAGCGGUGGAAUGCGCAGAUAUCAGGAGGAACACCGGCGGCGAAGGCGGGUCUCUGGGCAGUAACUGACGCUGAGAAGCGAAAGCGUGGGGAGCGAACAGG